AAACAGAGUAUUGCCUUAGUUAGCGGCGAGUGAGCGGCAAAGCUUCAAUUUUGAAAUCCUGGCUCUUUCAGAGUCCGAGUUGUAAUUCUGAAGAAGGUAUCUUUGGGUCUGGCUCUUGUCUAUGUUUCUUGGAACAGAACGUCACAGAGGGUGAGAAUCCCGUGCGAUGAGAUGAUCCAGGCCUAUGUAAAGUUCCUUCGAAGAGUCGAGUUGUUUGGGAAUGCAGCUCUAAGUGGGUGGUAAAUUCCAUCUAAAGCUAAAUAUUGGCGAGAGACCGAUAGCGAACAAGUACAGUGAUGGAAAGAUGAAAAGAACUUUGAAAAGAGAGUGAAAAAGUACGUGAAAUUGUUGAAAGGGAAGGGCUUGAGAUCAGACUUGGUAUUUUGUAUGUUACUUCUUCGGGGGUGGCCUCUACAGUUUAUCGGGCCAGCAUCAGUUUGGGCGGUAGGAGAAUUGCGUUGGAAUGUGGCACGGCUUCGGUUGUGUGUUAUAGCCUUCGUCGAUACUGCCAGCCUAGACUGAGGACUGCGGUUUAUACCUAGGAUGUUGGCAUAAUGAUCUUAAGUCGCCCGUCUUGAAAAAAAGGAACCCAAAAAAUGCGAGUGUUUGGGUGUAAAACCCGUACGCGUAAUGAAAGUGAACGUAGGUGGGGGCCCGUAUGGGUGCACCAUCGACCGAUC
RNAcentral lists this ribosomal RNA (680 nucleotides) under Candida tropicalis. RNAcentral describes it as "partial large subunit ribosomal RNA". It matches the Rfam family "Eukaryotic large subunit ribosomal RNA", at positions 62 to 770 of the family's 3401-position model. The record is from RNAcentral. Lineage: Eukaryota; Fungi; Ascomycota; Pichiomycetes; Serinales; Debaryomycetaceae.